AACGAACGCUGGCGGCAUGCCUAACACAUGCAAGUCGAACGAGACCUUCGGGUCUAGUGGCGCACGGGUGCGUAACGCGUGGGAACCUGCCCUUAGGUUCGGAAUAACUCCCCGAAAGGGGUGCUAAUACCGGAUAAUUUCUUCGGACCAAAGAUUUAUCGCCUUUGGAUGGGCCCGCGUUGGAUUAGCUAGUUGGUAGGGUAAAAGCCUACCAAGGCGACGAUCCAUAGCUGGUCUGAGAGGAUGAUCAGCCACACUGGGACUGAGACACGGCCCAGACUCCUACGGGAGGCAGCAGUGGGGAAUAUUGGAGAAUGGGCGAAAGCCUGAUCCAGCAAUGCCGCGUGAGUGAUGAAGGCCUUAGGGUUGUAAAGCUCUUUUACCCGGGAUGAUAAUGACAGUACCGGGAGAAUAAGCUCCGGCUAACUCCGUG
RNAcentral lists this ribosomal RNA (433 nucleotides) under uncultured bacterium. Its description in RNAcentral is "partial 16S ribosomal RNA". It matches the Rfam family "Bacterial small subunit ribosomal RNA", at positions 29 to 507 of the family's 1533-position model. The record is from RNAcentral.